GCGGACGUGGUGGAAUUGGUAGACACGCCAGAUUUAGGUUCUGGUGCAGCAAUGUGUGAGAGUUCGAGUCUCUCCGUCCGCACCA
Molecule: transfer RNA, 85 nt
Filed under: Paraglaciecola psychrophila
Lineage: Bacteria; Pseudomonadati; Pseudomonadota; Gammaproteobacteria; Alteromonadales; Alteromonadaceae
Also listed under: 10 other names
Description: tRNA-Leu
Rfam family: tRNA
About the family: Transfer RNA (tRNA) molecules are approximately 80 nucleotides in length. Their secondary structure includes four short double-helical elements and three loops (D, anti-codon, and T loops).
Source: RNAcentral